ACACAUGCAGUCGAACGGUAGCACAGAGGAGCUUGCUCUUNGGGUGACGAGUGGCGGACGGGUGAGUAAUGCCUGGGAAACUGCCCGAUGGAGGGGGAUAACUACUGGAAACGGUAGCUAAUACCGCAUAACGUCUUCGGACCAAAGUGGGGGACCUUCGGGCCUCACACCAUCGGAUGUGCCCAGGUGGGAUUAGCUAGUAGGUGGGGUAAUGGCUCACCUAGGCGACGAUCCCUAGCUGGUCUGAGAGGAUGACCAGCCACACUGGAACUGAGACACGNUCCAGACUCCUACGGGAGGCAGCAGUGGGGAAUAUUGCACAAUGGGCGCA
This 331-nucleotide ribosomal RNA is filed under the name bacterium ocnta192lb798offp11.20. Its description in RNAcentral is "bacterial SSU rRNA". It matches the Rfam family "Bacterial small subunit ribosomal RNA", at positions 51 to 379 of the family's 1533-position model. The record is from RNAcentral.